This 4025-nucleotide long non-coding RNA is filed under the name Sus scrofa (pig). RNAcentral describes it as "lncRNA (ENSSSCG00000062940.1)". Lineage: Eukaryota; Metazoa; Chordata; Mammalia; Artiodactyla; Suidae. The record is from RNAcentral.
CUCUCCUCAUGGUACUUAGCACCCCCUGAAAAAAAAUCUUACCUAUUUGUUUGCAUAUCUUCAGUUUUUCCCACUAUACAAAGCAGGAGCUAGACAGCUCUCUUGUCACCAGACCCUUCCCAGAGGUAAGACUGUUGACCCUGAGUCAACUACUCCAGGAAUACUCCAGUGUUUGUACUCACUGCAAUGAAAAUUUUAAACAUAUAACAUCUGAAAUGUCUGCAAGUCUAUUCCAUGUCCUACUACUUUUCCCUCACUUUAGAAUUUCACCAAUCUUUAUGGAAAAUUUAAUUGGAAUGUUUUAUAUUUUUACCUCAACGAUUUUAAAGAGUAUGUAAUCACUCAUUCUUUAAAAAAAAAAAAAAAACCCUCAUAUGUUUUUUUCAAAUAAGAAUUCUGGGAGUUCCCAUUGUGGCUGAACUGUAACGAACUCAGCUGGUAUCCAUGAGGUGCAGGUUCGAUCCCUGGCCUUAUUCAGUAGGUUAAAGAUCCCACAUUGCCGUGGCUGUGGUGUAGGCCGGCAGCUACAGCUCCAAUUCAACCCCUAGCCUGGGAACUUCCAUAUGCUGCGGGGAUGGCCCUAAAAACAAAAACAAACAAAAAAAAGGAAUUCUGAAGUGUUUUUCUUCUUAAAAUGCCCGAUUGUGUGGACUUGAGUAUAGAUUUUGUAUUUAACCAAAUACAUUUUGCUGAAUUUGUUUGGUGAGAGAGAGAGGUUAAUUAUGAGGAAUCAGCUCACGUGAUUAUGGAGGCUGAAAAGUUCCAUGCUCUGCCAUCUGCCAGCUGGAAAUCCAGGAAAGCCAGUGGUGUAACUCAAUCCCAGUUCAAAAGCUUGAGAACCAGAGUUGCUCGUGGUGUAAAUCCCAAUCCAGGGCACGAGAAGACCAAUGUCCCAAUUCAAACAGGCAGACAGGAAGGAAAAGCAGGGCUAAUUCUUCUUUCCCCUGCCUUUUGUUCUAUUCAGGCCCUCAACCAAUUUGCUGAUGCCCACCAUAUUGAGGCAGGCAAUGUGCUUUCCUGAGGUCACCAAUCCAAAGGCUAAUCUCAUUCAGAAACACCCUCAUGGACACACCCAGAAGAAAAUGUUUGAUUUGGGCAACCCCCAGCUUGACCUUCAGUCAAGGUGACACAUAAAUUUAGCAAUCACAGGGAUGAUAGUACCUACAUCACAGGGGCUGUGGUAGAUGAAGGUAUGUAAUAUACACAGUGUGCUUAAGACUAUUCCUAGCACAUGGGGCCAGAAAAGUAUUUUUCAUCAUUCUAUCACCACCAUCAUUAUUAGUGCUCUUAUUUAUUAUUUGGGGACUGAGGUCAUUUAUUUGAGAAUAUAAAUGAAGAAAAGAUAAAACUCAGGGCAGUGAGCAGGCCAACAUUUUAGAAGAGAAAAAGCUGGGGAAGAAGAAUGAGAAGGAGGGAUCAGGAGGGUAGGGGAAGAAAAGCAUUUCAAGAAUGCACAAAAUCACCAUGUGUUGAAGGAUGCUGAGAGUUUGUUCAAGAAAGACAAGAAUGGAGAUGUGAACACUGGAACCUGAAGCAAACACUUGUACCUUUGGAGCCAUAUGAUUCCACCCAUUUGCAGGUCUAACACAGACCCUUCUUUAAAGCACCUAUGUUAGUUGAGAAGAGCUUUGCGUAGACAUCUCCUGGUUUUGACUGCUGAGAGUCCUUCUUUCUUCUGGUAGCAGCAUCCUAUUCUUCCUGUGAAUUUUACAUGCCAAACUCAGUAUGUGGACUCAGUGAAUCUGUCUGUUUUGGCACUCUACCCUCUUCCACCACAGACAAGGGCUGACUCAUCAGAAUCCUCUCUAGAAAGGUAUAUUUCAAAGUUUGGGGAAAAUAUUAUCUCUUUAUACUUUUGUUGUUGAACUGGAGGGAUAUAAGUCUGGGGUUAUAGAUAGACAACCAUCUUGCCUGGAAAAUGGAGAGACCCGCUAAGGGAGGCAAUGACAGAAUCCUGAUUUUACUGUUGCACCUAGAUUUAGCCAUGCCUGAAGCCAUACUCACCCUUAGGAUUCCUAGCAUUCUUCAAUCGGCAUGAGAAGGAUUUCAGUCACUGUCAGCCAAGAGCAUUUUGACUCUAUCAUAAAUAUUUUCACAGUGAUUAUGAUAUAACAUCAAGUGAGAUUUAUGUUUUGGCACAUCCAAAAUCUAUUUUUUUUUUUAAAUGGAAAGUAUAUAGCAGAGAGGGGGGACUCUGUAGAAUUCAAUUAGUACAUGCAUCUCAUUGACAGGACCAAGUUCUCCAUUCCUGACUGUGAGCUCUGGGUUUGGGUUCUUGGAUAGUCUGUAUUAUUACAGUCAUAUGUGCAGCAGCAGCCACAUGACACGCAGGAGCAAUGGACAAGGCAACAUCAGGAUGUUAUUUGAUCUGGUAGCAGGUAGCAAGCCAGAUUCAGUCACAGGGUGAAACCGUAGGGACAUAAUGUUAGUUCCUGGGGAACAAAUGUGAGAGGGAAGGUUUUUAAAGAUAAGGCAAGGAAUGUUCUUGGGAGAAACAGAGAAUGAUGUAAUAGCUUGAUGAAAACAAAGAGAAAAGCUCAGCACUCUAGUCAGUUUGAAUUCAUCUUUACAGGGAAUAGAAAUUAUGUCUAGCUAAAUUAAGCAAAAAAAGAAUUUAUUACAAUGGUGUCGCAUCCAACACCAGAAUCUCUAAGUUGGCCAAAGAAUCAGGCUUGGGGGACACAGGGCCAACUGCCAAAGCACAACAUAAACCUGGUCCAGCAAAGAAGCCAAGCACUGCUUGCCUCUCAGAUACAACCAGCGGUGGUUAAUAGAUGUGGCUGCCACCUUCUCCAGAGUGCAUUGUGCAUGGCCUCUGCUUUGUUAGGUCUCAAGCUUCCAAUCCCUGUGUGACUUUGGGGGCACUGGGAGUGGGAAGCAGAGGGCAGAGAGCCAAGUGCAGCCGGCAGGCCAGGUCUCUGUGCCAUGCCCUAGCCGAAAGAAAGCUGUGAAGUGGAUAUAGUCACUGCCCCCUUCUAUCGCAGCACAUGAACUCUGGGAAAUAUUGUGGACUAUUCUCCAAUAUAAGGAUGUUCAGGGAGUUCCCGUCGUGGCUCAGUAGUUAACGAAUCUGACUGGGAACCAUGAGGUUAAGGGUUCGAUCCCUGGCCUCACUCAGUGGGUUAAGGAUCCGGCAUUGCCAUGUGCUGUGGUGUAGGUCGCAGAUGUGGCUUGGAUCUGGCGUUGCUGUGGCUCUGGCGUAGGUUGGCGGCUAUAGCUCCAAUUAGACCCCUAGCCUGGGAACCUCCGUAUGCCGCAGGUGCAGCCCUAAAAAAGACAAAAAAAUAAAAAAUAAAAAAAGGAUGUUCAAAUGAUGAGUGGCCAGGAAUAAUGGCAAACAUCCAGCCCCAUUAAAAUCCAGUGUGGGCAGUGAUUCAGAGUGUAGACUUUGGAAUAAGACUGCCUCCAUUCAAGCUCAAGGUCUAGUACUUCCUUGCACCUCGAUUUCCUUAAGCCUCAUUUUACUUAUCUGAAAAAUGGAGAAAAGAAUAGAACUUUGCCAGAGUUGGUGUAGAAAGUAAUGCUCAUGUGAUGAGACAAAGUUUGAGCCUGCAGUUGCCUGGCUUUUCCCUCUCUUUGUCUGCUAAAGGAGAUUCUGGUGGUCGCCUUUUGGAUUAUUUUGUUCCCAUAUCCUCCAAAGAAGGCCCUGUUAUUGCCAAAGUUGUUCCUAGGGCUUUCGUGAUAUAGAUUUGGGGAGAAGAUCAGGAGGAAUAUAACUCAAGAUGUGUUUUUGCUAGGUUUAGGAUGAGGGAAGAAUUUUCAAGGAUUUUGGAGAAAGAAAGACUGGAGAUCCAGUCUAUAGGAGAGCAAAGGGGCUUUUGAGACUAUUUCUCUUACAAAAGACAGAGGAGUUUUUGCUGAGGUACCCUGGGUUACGAAUCCUACGGCAGCAGCUCCGUCACUGUGGAGGUGAGGGUUUGCUCCCUGGGCUGGAACAGUGGGUUAAAGGAUCCAGCGUUGACACAACUACAGUGUAGGUCACAGACUCAAUACCUGGCCCAGGAACUUCCAUAUGCCAUGGGUGC